RNAcentral lists this long non-coding RNA (413 nucleotides) under Nicotiana benthamiana. Its description in RNAcentral is "long non-coding RNA (NBEN_LNC024961)". Lineage: Eukaryota; Viridiplantae; Streptophyta; Magnoliopsida; Solanales; Solanaceae. The record is from RNAcentral.
GAAUGUAGAAGUUUGAUAUUCCAAAGUUCAUUAAGCUUGAAUUAGAGUGUGAUUCCUGAAUUUAGUAUUAUUUGAUGUGAUUUGAGGGCCCGAGUAGGCUCGUGUUAUGUUAUAGGACUUGUUUGCAUGAUUGGAUGGGGUCCCGAGGGCCUUGGGUGUGUUUUGGGGUGGUUUCCGAACCAAAUUGAGUGAUUUGAUGUUGUUGUUGUUGUUGAAUCUGGUUUCCUUCUUCGCGAAUACAAAGGGAAUCCCUCGUUCGCGAAUAGGAACUUUGAAGCAGCUGGGUUUUGGCCUUCGCGAACGUGAGGCAUUGAACAUGAACGCGAACACGAGGCUGGAGCUGGGUAAGCCUUCGUGAACGCGGCCAAGGCUAAGCAAACGCUAAGAGGAAAGAAGGCUUGGGGGAGUUGGAG